GAAACACCGGUUCCUGUACGUUCACCGAAGUUAAGCAAUGUCGAACCUGGUCAGUACCUAGAUGGGUGAUUGUUUGGAAAUACCAGGUAUUGUAAG
Molecule: non-coding RNA, 96 nt
Organism: Acanthosepion pharaonis
Lineage: Eukaryota; Metazoa; Mollusca; Cephalopoda; Sepiida; Sepiidae
Source: the annotation of a GenBank genome assembly